GAUGAACGCUGGCGGCGUGCUUAACACAUGCAAGUCGAACGGAAAGGCCACAGCUUGCUGUGGUACUCGAGUGGCGAACGGGUGAGUAACACGUGGGUGAUCUGCCCUGUACUUCGGGAUAAGCUUGGGAAACUGGGUCUAAUACCGGAUAGGAAUCACAUGUGGGUGUGUGGUUGGAAAGCUUUUGCGGUAUGGGAUGAGCUCGCGGCCUAUCAGCUUGUUGGUGGGGUAAUGGCCUACCAAGGCGUCGACGGGUAGCCGGCCUGAGAGGGUGUACGGCCACAUUGGGACUGAGGUACGGCCCAGACUCCUACGGGGGGCAGCAGUGGGGAAUAUUGCACAAUGGGCGCAAGCCUGAUGCAGCGACGCCGCGUGGGGGAUGACGGCCUUCGGGUUGUAAACUCCUUUCGUCAGGGACGAAGCGAAAGUGACGGUACCUGGAUAAGAAGCACCGGCUAACUACGUG
Molecule: ribosomal RNA, 466 nt
Filed under: uncultured bacterium
Lineage: Bacteria
Description: partial 16S ribosomal RNA
Rfam family: Bacterial small subunit ribosomal RNA
Source: RNAcentral